GGGUCUAUAGCUCAACGGUAGAGCACGAAGCUUAUAUCUUCGCGGUUCUUGGUUCGAAUCCAAGUAGACCCA
Molecule: transfer RNA, 72 nt
Filed under: bacterium
Lineage: Bacteria
Description: tRNA-Ile
Rfam family: tRNA
About the family: Transfer RNA (tRNA) molecules are approximately 80 nucleotides in length. Their secondary structure includes four short double-helical elements and three loops (D, anti-codon, and T loops).
Source: RNAcentral